This 258-nucleotide ribosomal RNA is filed under the name uncultured bacterium. RNAcentral's name for it is "partial 16S ribosomal RNA". It matches the Rfam family "Bacterial small subunit ribosomal RNA", at positions 15 to 266 of the family's 1533-position model. The record is from RNAcentral.
GAUCCUGGCUCAGGACGAACGCUGGCGGCGUGCCUAACACAUGCAAGUCGAGCGGAGACAGUGAGUAGCUUGCUAUGAGCUGUUUUAGCGGCGGACGGGUGAGUAACGCGUGAGCAACCUUUCCCAGACAGGGGAAUAACACACCGAAAGGUGUACUAAUACCGCAUAAAACCACGGAAUCACAUGGUUCUGGGGUAAAAGAUUUAUCGGUUUGGGGUGGGCUCGCGUCCGAUUAGGUAGUUGGUGAGGUAACGGCCC